UGCGAUACCUGGUGUGAAUUGCAGAAUCCCGUGAACCAUCGAGUUUUUGAACGCAAGUUGCGCCUGAGGCCUUGCGGCUGAGGGCACGUCUGCCUGGGCGUCACGCCAAAAGACACUCCACCGCAAUUGCGGUCUGGACGUGGUGUUUGGCCCCUCAUCCCGUAGUGUAUGGUGGGCCAAAGAUGCGGCUGCUGGCGGUGCCGGUCACAGCACAUGGUGGAUGACACAAGUUAUUCUCGGUGUUAUGAUCUGACAACCCUCGGUCAUGUUAUGCCCCUUUGGACCCAUGGUUUGGAGCGUAUGUAGCUCGGACCGCGACCCCAGGUCAGUCGGGACUACCCGCUGAAUUUAAGCAUAUCAAUAAGCGG
This 368-nucleotide ribosomal RNA is filed under the name Stapfochloa lamproparia. RNAcentral describes it as "eukaryotic LSU rRNA". The stretch from base 1 to 103 matches the Rfam family "5.8S ribosomal RNA", at positions 54 to 154 of the family's 154-position model. The record is from RNAcentral. Lineage: Eukaryota; Viridiplantae; Streptophyta; Magnoliopsida; Poales; Poaceae.